This 27-nucleotide non-coding RNA is filed under the name Homo sapiens (human). The record is from RNAcentral. Lineage: Eukaryota; Metazoa; Chordata; Mammalia; Primates; Hominidae.
UCCAGCAGAAAGUGCUUAUGGGCCAUC